This 635-nucleotide ribosomal RNA is filed under the name Chitinophaga sp.RP4. RNAcentral's name for it is "bacterial SSU rRNA". It matches the Rfam family "Bacterial small subunit ribosomal RNA", at positions 55 to 685 of the family's 1533-position model. The record is from RNAcentral. Lineage: Bacteria; Pseudomonadati; Bacteroidota; Chitinophagia; Chitinophagales; Chitinophagaceae.
AUGCAAGUCGAGGGGCAGCACGGUAGCAAUACUGGUGGCGACCGGCAAACGGGUGCGGAACACGUACGCAACCUUCCUUUAAGAGAUGAAUAGCCCGGAGAAAUCCGGAUUAAUGCAUCGUAAGAUUGUGGGAUGGCAUCAUCCAGCAAUUAAAGAUUUAUUUCGCUUAAAGAUGGGCGUGCGCCUGAUUAGGUAGUUGGUGAGGUAACGGCUCACCAAGCCGACGAUCAGUAACUGGCGUGAGAGCGCGACCAGUCACACGGGCACUGAGACACGGGCCCGACUCCUACGGGAGGCAGCAGUAAGGAAUAUUGGUCAAUGGACGGAAGUCUGAACCAGCCAUGCCGCGUGAAGGAUGAAAGCCCUCUGGGUUGUAAACUUCUUUUAUCUGGGAAGAAAUCACUCUUUUCUAAGGGUGUUGACGGUACCAGAGGAAUAAGCACCGGCUAACUCCGUGCCAGCAGCCGCGGUAAUACGGAGGGUGCAAGCGUUAUCCGGAUUCACUGGGUUUAAAGGGUGCGUAGGCGGAUUAGUAAGUCCGUGGUGAAAUCUCCAAGCUUAACUUGGAAACUGCCAUGGAUACUAUUAGUCUUGAAUGUUGUGGAGGUUAGCGGAAUAUGUCAUGUAGCGGUGAA